Molecule: small RNA, 87 nt
Filed under: Phytopseudomonas flavescens
Lineage: Bacteria; Pseudomonadati; Pseudomonadota; Gammaproteobacteria; Pseudomonadales; Pseudomonadaceae
Also listed under: 1 other name
Description: isrK Hfq binding RNA
Rfam family: isrK Hfq binding RNA
Source: RNAcentral
GUCGCUGCAAAUUCAGCGACCGGGUUUGGCGACUCGAAGACCACACGGCGCACAAGCGCCCACCAUCCGAAAGCAGGCGCUUUUUUC